This 460-nucleotide ribosomal RNA is filed under the name uncultured bacterium. RNAcentral describes it as "partial 16S ribosomal RNA". It matches the Rfam family "Bacterial small subunit ribosomal RNA", at positions 338 to 795 of the family's 1533-position model. The record is from RNAcentral.
ACUACGGGGGGCAGCAGUGAGGAAUAUUGGUCAAUGGGCGCGAGCCUGAACCAGCCAAGUAGCGUGAAGGAUGACUGCCCUACGGGUUGUAAACCUCUUUUAUAAAGGAAUAAAGUGAGGCACGUGUGCCUUUUUGUAUGUACUUUAUGAAUAAGGAUCGGCUAACUCCGUGCCAGCAGCCGCGGUAAUACGGAGGAUCCGAGCGUUAUCCGGAUUUAUUGGGUUUAAAGGGUGCGUAGAUGGGUUGUUAAGUCAGGUGUGAAAGGCUGCGGCUCAACCGUCAAAUUGCAAUUGAUACUGACAGUCUUGAGUACAGGUGAGGUAGGCGGAAUGCGUGGUGUAGCGGUGAAAUGCUUAGAUAUCACGAAGAACUCCGAUUGCGAAGGCAGCUUACUAAACUGCCACUGACAUUGAUGCUCGAAAGUGUGGGUAUCAAACAGGAUUAGAUACCCGGGUAGUC